GGGGGCAGCGUGGAGCCGGGCGCGGAGCUGUGGAGUCGCUGCCCGGAGCGCGGAGCCCGGAGCCCGCUGCGGUGCAGGCGCGUGGAGGGCGGGCGGCCCGGCUGUUAGCACUGGGUGGUUUCGGCCACCGUGGUGCGGAUCUGUGCGACCUUUGCUUUUUAAGGAAGGGGAGAGGUGGAGAUGAGUUCUUCAUUUCGCGUGUGUGUUAGUCGGGAGAGUGGCACUCGCUGCCCUCGCGCUUUCCAGCUAUCCUUAUCAAGACUUCAGAAACUCUGCCCUUGCACUUGGACCAUUGUAAAAGGAUGAAGCUCUGAAGGAAAGCAUACUAUUUCAGACUGUUCCAGGAAGGAAGAAAACUACAGCUCUGUGUCAGUCAGGUUUGUUUUGUUUUGUUUUGCUUUUUCUUGGUGGGGCGGGGGAGCGCUGUAACAAAUAUUUGAAAUAAUCAUCU
This 451-nucleotide long non-coding RNA is filed under the name Chinchilla lanigera (long-tailed chinchilla). RNAcentral describes it as "lncRNA (ENSCLAG00000022847.1)". Lineage: Eukaryota; Metazoa; Chordata; Mammalia; Rodentia; Chinchillidae. The record is from RNAcentral.